AACGUAGGAGGCGAGCGUUAUCCGGAAUCACUGGGCGUAAAGGGCGUUUAGGCGGUGGCGUAAGUCUGACGUGAAAGCCGCGGGCUCAACUCGCGGAGGCCGUUGGAGACUGCGCGACUGGAGGGUCGCAGAGGGGCGUGGAAUUCCCGGUGUAGUGGUGAAAUGCGUAGAGAUCGGGAGGAACACCCGUGGCGGAGGCGACGCCCUGGGCGACAACUGACGCUGAAGCGCGAAAGCGUGGGGAGCAAACGGG
RNAcentral lists this ribosomal RNA (253 nucleotides) under uncultured bacterium. RNAcentral's name for it is "partial 16S ribosomal RNA". It matches the Rfam family "Bacterial small subunit ribosomal RNA", at positions 524 to 776 of the family's 1533-position model. The record is from RNAcentral.